Molecule: ribosomal RNA, 253 nt
Filed under: uncultured bacterium
Lineage: Bacteria
Description: partial 16S ribosomal RNA
Rfam family: Bacterial small subunit ribosomal RNA
Source: RNAcentral
UACGUAGGGGGCAAGCGUUGUCCGGAUUUACUGGGCGUAAAGAGCGCGCAGGCGGUCGUUCAAGUCGAGUGUGAAAGCCCCCGGCUCAACUGGGGAGGGUCAUUCGAUACUGAUCGACUCGAAGGCAGGAGAGGGAAGUGGAAUUCCCGGUGUAGUGGUGAAAUGCGUAGAGAUCAGGCGGAACACCCGUGGCGAAGGCGGCCAGCUGGGACGUCCCUGACGCUGAGGCGCGAAGGCGUGGGGAGCGAACGGG